This is a long non-coding RNA of Thalassophryne amazonica, 88 nucleotides long. RefSeq lists it as uncharacterized. The transcript has 2 exons. The record is from RefSeq and is a predicted model, not a curated record. NCBI's taxonomy places the organism in Eukaryota, Metazoa, Chordata, Actinopteri, Batrachoidiformes, Batrachoididae.
UAAACCCAAACUCUGGUUUGACUAAAUCUGAAGUGUUAAAAAGCCCACAUCAAUGGAACACAGAUAAGAUUCACCAUGGCAACAGGUG